This 497-nucleotide ribosomal RNA is filed under the name uncultured bacterium. RNAcentral's name for it is "partial 16S ribosomal RNA". It matches the Rfam family "Bacterial small subunit ribosomal RNA", at positions 28 to 507 of the family's 1533-position model. The record is from RNAcentral.
GAUGAACGCUGGCGGCGUGCCUAAUACAUGCCAGUCGAGCGAACAGACGAGGAGCUUGCUCCUCUGACGUUAGCGGCGGACGGGUGAGUAACACGUGGAUAACCUACCUAUAAGACUGGGAUAACUUCGGGAAACCGGAGCUAAUACCGGAUAAUAUGUUGAACCGCAUGGUUCAAUAGUGAAAGACGGUUUUGCUGUCACUUAUAGAUGGAUCCGCGCCGCAUUAGCUAGUUGGUAAGGUAACGGCUUACCAAGGCAACGAUGCGUAGCCGACCUGAGAGGGUGAUCGGCCACACUGGAACUGAGACACGGUCCAGACUCCUACGGGAGGCAGCAGUAGGGAAUCUUCCGCAAUGGGCGAAAGCCUGACGGAGCAACGCCGCGUGAGUGAUGAAGGUCUUCGGAUCGCAAAACUCUGUUAUUAGGGAAGAACAAAUGUGUAAGUAACUAUGCACGUCUUGACGGUACCUAAUCAGAAAGCCACGGCUAACUACGUG